Bombyx mori (domestic silkworm) is the source of this 525-nucleotide long non-coding RNA. RefSeq lists it as uncharacterized. The transcript has 3 exons. The record is from RefSeq and is a predicted model, not a curated record. NCBI's taxonomy places the organism in Eukaryota, Metazoa, Arthropoda, Insecta, Lepidoptera, Bombycidae.
CCAGCCUACCUAGUACCUACUAAGAUUAGGUUCAUAGAUUAUACACUUAAUAUAUUAGGUUUUUAAUACCUAUUUAUGUGUAUGAAUUUAAUUCUUAUUGUAAACGGGAAUUUUUGUGUUUAUUCUUAUUUGUUUUUGUGAAACAACUGUAUUAGUGGUGAAAACAAUCAGUGUUUCGAGAACAGGUGAUCACUAUGGCAGUAAUGGCUAUCGGUCUGUAGGCCGCCCUGCCGAUCGUGCUUCAGGAAAGCGAAGUGCAGAGUUGGAGCACAGGAUGCCGAUCGCGCCGCGCGGUCCUCCGUUCCUCUUAACGCCCUACCAUCUCUUACACCGUAGAAGACCCAAUAUAACCCUCAAGUGCCCUUCAAUUAUAUAACGUAUAAAGUUUCCUACGCCUCUUUUACACCGACCUAUAAUUAUAGUUACGCACAGUGUCAGUGUUGUGUCUCGAGCGAGUGUAAGUGUAUAUGUGUGUCGAUGGUGCGGCCGACAUGGGAAAGUCCUCGGCGAGAACACAUGGCCAAG